GGGUUGUGAGGUUAAGCGACUAAGCGUACACGGUGGAUGCCCUGGCAGUCAGAGGCGAUGAAGGACGUGCUAAUCUGCGAAAAGCGUCGGUAAGGUGAUAUGAACCGUUAUAACCGGCGAUGUCCGAAUGGGGAAACCCAGUGCAAUUCGUUGCACUAUCGUUAACUGAAUACAUAGGUUAACGAGGCGAACCGGGGAACUGAAACAUCUAAGUACCCCGAGGAAAAGAAAUCAACCGAGAUUCCCCAGUAGCGGCGAGCGAACGGGGAGCAGCCCAGAGUCUGAAUCAGCUUGUGUGUUAGUGGAACGGUCUGGAAAGUCCGACGGUACAGGGUGAUAGUCCCGUACACCAAAAUGCACAGGCUGUGAACUCGAAGAGUAGGGCGGGACACGUGGUAUCCUGUCUGAAUAUGGGGGACCAUCCUCCAAGGCUAAAUACUCCUGACUGACCGAUAGUGAACCAGUACCGUGAGGGAAAGGCGAAAAGAACCCCGGCGAGGGAGUGAAAAAGAACCUGAAACCGUGUACGUACAAGCAGUGGGAGCACCUUCGGGUGUGACUGCGUACCUUUUGUAUAAUGGGUCAGCGACUUAUAUUCUGUAGCAAGGUUAACCGUAUAGGGGAGCCGCAGGGAAACCGAGUCUUAACUGGGCGUUAAGUUGCAGGGUAUAGACCCGAAACCCGGUGAUCUAGCCAUGGGCAGGUUGAAGGUUGGGUAACACUAACUGGAGGACCGAACCGACUAAUGUUGAAAAAUUAGCGGAUGACUUGUGGCUGGGGGUGAAAGGCCAAUCAAACCGGGAGAUAGCUGGUUCUCCCCGAAAGCUAUUUAGGUAGCGCCUCGUGAACUCAUCUUCGGGGGUAGAGCACUGUUUCGGCUAGGGGGUCAUCCCGACUUACCAACCCGAUGCAAACUACGAAUACCGAAGAAUGUUAUCACGGGAGACACACGGCGGGUGCUAACGUCCGUCGUGAAGAGGGAAACAACCCAGACCGCCAGCUAAGGUCCCAAAGUCAUGGUUAAGUGGGAAACGAUGUGGGAAGGCACAGACAGCCAGGAUGUUGGCUUAGAAGCAGCCAUCAUUUAAAGAAAGCGUAAUAGCUCACUGGUCGAGUCGGCCUGCGCGGAAGAUGUAACGGGGCUAAACCAUGCACCGAAGCUGCGGCAGCGACACUAUGUGUUGUUGGGUAGGGGAGCGUUCUGUAAGCCUGCGAAGGUGUGCUGUGAGGCAUGCUGGAGGUAUCAGAAGUGCGAAUGCUGACAUAAGUAACGAUAAAGCGGGUGAAAAGCCCGCUCGCCGGAAGACCAAGGGUUCCUGUCCAACGUUAAUCGGGGCAGGGUGAGUCGACCCCUAAGGCGAGGCCGAAAGGCGUAGUCGAUGGGAAACAGGUUAAUAUUCCUGUACUUGGUGUUACUGCGAAGGGGGACGGAGAAGGCUAUGUUAGCCGGGCGACGGUUGUCCCGGUUUAAGCAUGUAGGCUGAUUGUCCAGGCAAAUCCGGAUAAUCAAGGCUGAGGUGUGAUGACGAGGCACUACGGUGCUGAAGUAACAAAUGCCCUGCUUCCAGGAAAAGCCUCUAAGCAUCAGGUAACAUCAAAUCGUACCCCAAACCGACACAGGUGGUCAGGUAGAGAAUACCAAGGCGCUUGAGAGAACUCGGGUGAAGGAACUAGGCAAAAUGGUGCCGUAACUUCGGGAGAAGGCACGCUGGUGUGUAGGUGAAGUCCCUGCGGAUGGAGCUGAGACCAGUCGAAGAUACCAGCUGGCUGCAACUGUUUAUUAAAAACACAGCACUGUGCAAACACGAAAGUGGACGUAUACGGUGUGACGCCUGCCCGGUGCCGGAAGGUUAAUUGAUGGGGUUAUCCGUAAGGAGAAGCUCUUGAUCGAAGCCCCGGUAAACGGCGGCCGUAACUAUAACGGUCCUAAGGUAGCGAAAUUCCUUGUCGGGUAAGUUCCGACCUGCACGAAUGGCGUAAUGAUGGCCAGGCUGUCUCCACCCGAGACUCAGUGAAAUUGAACUCGCUGUGAAGAUGCAGUGUACCCGCGGCAAGACGGAAAGACCCCGUGAACCUUUACUAUAGCUUGACACUGAACAUUGAGCCUUGAUGUGUAGGAUAGGUGGGAGGCUUUGAAGCGUGGACGCCAGUCUGCGUGGAGCCAACCUUGAAAUACCACCCUUUAAUGUUUGAUGUUCUAACGUUGGCCCCUGACCGGGGUUGCGGACAGUGUCUGGUGGGUAGUUUGACUGGGGCGGUCUCCUCCCAAAGCGUAACGGAGGAGCACGAAGGUUAGCUAAUCCUGGUCGGACAUCAGGAGGUUAGUGCAAUGGCAUAAGCUAGCUUGACUGCGAGCGUGACGGCGCGAGCAGGUGCGAAAGCAGGUCAUAGUGAUCCGGUGGUUCUGAAUGGAAGGGCCAUCGCUCAACGGAUAAAAGGUACUCCGGGGAUAACAGGCUGAUACCGCCCAAGAGUUCAUAUCGACGGCGGUGUUUGGCACCUCGAUGUCGGCUCAUCACAUCCUGGGGCUGAAGUAGGUCCCAAGGGUAUGGCUGUUCGCCAUUUAAAGUGGUACGCGAGCUGGGUUUAGAACGUCGUGAGACAGUUCGGUCCCUAUCUGCCGUGGGCGCUGGAGAAUUGAGGGGGCUGCUCCUAGUACGAGAGGACCGGAGUGGACGCAUCACUGGUGUUCGGGUUGUCAUGCCAAUGGCACUGCCCGGUAGCUAAAUGCGGAAGAGAUAAGUGCUGAAAGCAUCUAAGCACGAAACUUGCCCCGAGAUGAGUUCUCCCUGAGACUUUAAGUCUCCUGAAGGAACGUUAAAGACGAUGACGUUGAUAGGCCGGGUGUGUAAGCGCAGCGAUGCGUUGAGCUAACCGGUACUAAUGAACCGUGAGGCUUAACCUUACAACGCCGAAG
This 2917-nucleotide ribosomal RNA is filed under the name Klebsiella pneumoniae. RNAcentral's name for it is "23S ribosomal RNA". It matches the Rfam family "Bacterial large subunit ribosomal RNA". Lineage: Bacteria; Pseudomonadati; Pseudomonadota; Gammaproteobacteria; Enterobacterales; Enterobacteriaceae. The record is from RNAcentral.